This 811-nucleotide ribosomal RNA is filed under the name Flavobacterium sp. SCGC AAA015-C20. RNAcentral describes it as "SSU rRNA". It matches the Rfam family "Bacterial small subunit ribosomal RNA", at positions 56 to 858 of the family's 1533-position model. Lineage: Bacteria; Pseudomonadati; Bacteroidota; Flavobacteriia; Flavobacteriales; Flavobacteriaceae. The record is from RNAcentral.
UGCAGUCGAGGGGCAGCACAGAUUGCUUGCAAUCAGGUGGCGACCGGCGCACGGGUGCGUAACGCGUAUGCAACCUACCUUUUACAGGGGGAUAGUCAAUAGAAAUGUUGAAUAAUACCCCAUACGAUCCUAUUUAGGCAUCUAAAUAGGAAGAAAACUCCGGUGGUAAAAGAUGGGCAUGCGUCCUAUUAGCUAGAUGGUGAGGUAACGGCUCACCAUGGCUACGAUAGGUAGGGGUCCUGAGAGGGAGAUCCCCCACACUGGUACUGAGACACGGACCAGACUCCUACGGGAGGCAGCAGUGAGGAAUAUUGGACAAUGGAGGCAACUCUGAUCCAGCCAUGCCGCGUGCAGGAAGACGGCCCUAUGGGUUGUAAACUGCUUUUAUACAGGAAGAAUGUUACCUACGAGUAGGUAUUUGACGGUACUGUAAGAAUAAGGAUCGGCUAACUCCGUGCCAGCAGCCGCGGUAAUACGGAGGAUCCAAGCGUUAUCCGGAAUCAUUGGGUUUAAAGGGUCCGCAGGCGGUUCAUUAAGUCAGAGGUGAAAUCCUGCCGCUCAACGGUAGCAUUGCCUUUGAUACUGAUGGACUUGAGUUAUAGUGAAGUAGUUAGAAUGUGUAGUGUAGCGGUGAAAUGCAUAGAUAUUACACAGAAUACCGAUUGCGAAAGCAGAUUACUAACUGUAUACUGACGCUGAGGGACGAAAGCGUGGGUAGCGAACAGGAUUAGAUACCCUGGUAGUCCACGCCGUAAACGAUGGAUACUAGCUGUUUGACCAACAAUGGUUGGUUGAGUGGCUAAGCGAAAGU